This 494-nucleotide ribosomal RNA is filed under the name uncultured bacterium. RNAcentral's name for it is "partial 16S ribosomal RNA". It matches the Rfam family "Bacterial small subunit ribosomal RNA", at positions 28 to 507 of the family's 1533-position model. The record is from RNAcentral.
GACGAACGCUGGCGGCGUGCUUAACACAUGCAAGUCGAACGGUGAAGCGCCUUCCUUUUUGGUGGGUGUGGUUGAGUGGCGAACGGGUGAGUAACACGUGAGUAACCUGCCCCCUUCUUCUGGAUAACCGCAUGAAAGUGUGGCUAAUACGGGAUAUUCUGGGUCUGUCGCAUGAUGGGUCUGGGACAGAGAUUGUUUCGGUGGGGGAUGGGCUCGCGGCCUAUCAGCUUGUUGGUGGGGUGAUGGCCUACCAAGGCGGUGACGGGUAGCCGGCUUGCGAGGGUGGACGGUCACACUGGGAGUGAGACAAGGCUCAGACUCCUACGGGAGGCAGCAGUGGGGAAGAUUGCACAAUGGGGGCAAGCGUGAUGCAGCGGCGACGCGUGAGGGAUGGAGGCCUUCGGGUUGUGAACCUCUUUCGCCAGUGAAGCAGGCCUGCCUCGUUUGUGGGUGGGUUGACGGUAGCUGGAUAAGAAGCGCCGGCUAACUACGUG